This 208-nucleotide unclassified non-coding RNA is filed under the name plant metagenome. RNAcentral describes it as "partial contains small subunit ribosomal RNA, internal transcribed spacer 1, and 5.8S ribosomal RNA". The record is from RNAcentral.
UUUCCGUAGGUGAACCUGCGGAAGGAUCAUUACAGAGUUCAUGCCCGAAAGGGUAGACCUCCCACCCUUGUGUAUUAUUACUUUGUUGCUUUGGCGAGCUGCCUUCGGGCCUUGUAUGCCCGCCAGAGAAUACCAAAACUCUUUUUAUUAAUGUCGUCUGAGUACUAUAUAAUAGUUAAAACUUUCAACAACGGAUCUCUUGGUUCUG